GACCAAAGAUCCCCAUAUUAAUUUUUUACUAUCUUUAGGCUUCAUUCGGAAUUGCGGGGAGAUUACAUUAUGUACGGUAAGAAACGAUGAUGUAAAAAUACCUUAUUUAUUUCUGUAUGUAAUAUUGCGUUUCGCAUAUUGCACUUAGUCGGUUAUAAUAUAUUUUUUACUGUUCUAUCGGAGAACGCAGAAGCAUAUCCCUGCAUAUUUUUUCUCAACUCCAUUCUAUCUAAUAACGUUAGAUAAACCUCAAUACCCAACUAAGCCUUAGCAUAUGCUUAUUUUGUGCAUUUCAUGAAAAAAUACUUAUAAUUAUUCUGUUCAAAUAAUACUUGUGUUGAAUCUAACCAAACUAUAUAAUUAAUAAAAUAAAAUUGAAAAAUCAAAGUUGAGAGUGAAAAGGAAAUAAAGAAAAAAAAAAAA
This 423-nucleotide long non-coding RNA is filed under the name Ananas comosus (pineapple). Its description in RNAcentral is "long non-coding RNA (ACOM_LNC019107)". Lineage: Eukaryota; Viridiplantae; Streptophyta; Magnoliopsida; Poales; Bromeliaceae. The record is from RNAcentral.